CGGAGGUGCGGGUGCUAUACAUGCGUCGAGCGGACAGAAGGGAGCUUGCUCCCGGAUGUUAGCGGCGGACGGGUGAGUAACACGUGGGUAACCUGCCUGUAAGACUGGGAUAACUCCGGGAAACCGGAGCUAAUACCGGAUAGUUCCUUGAACCGCAUGGUUCAAGGAUGAAAGACGGUUUCGGCUGUCACUUACAGAUGGACCCGCGGCGCAUUAGCUAGUUGGUGAGGUAACGGCUCACCAAGGCGACGAGCGUAGCCGACCUGAGAGGGUGAUCGGCCACACUGGGACUGAGACACGGCCCAGACUCCUACGGGAGGCAGCAGUAGGGAAUCUUCCGCAAUGGACGAAAGUCUGACGGAGCAACGCCGCGUGAGUGAUGAAGGUUUUCGGAUCGUAAAGCUCUGUUGUUAGGGAAGAACAAGUGCAAGAGUAACUGCUUGCACCUUGACGGUACCUAACCAGAAAGCCACGGCUAACUACGUGCCAGCAGCCGCGGUAAUACGUAGGUGGCAAGCGUUGUCCGGAAUUAUUGGGCGUAAAGGGCUCGCAGGCGGUUUCUUAAGUCUGAUGUGAAAGCCCCCGGCUCAACCGGGGAGGGUCAUUGGAAACUGGGAAACUUGAGUGCAGAAGAGGAGAGUGGAAUUCCACGUGUAGCGGUGAAAUGCGUAGAGAUGUGGAGGAACACCAGUGGCGAAGGCGACUCUCUGGUCUGUAACUGACGCUGAGGAGCGAAAGCGUGGGGAGCGAACAGGAUUAGAUACCCUGGUAGUCCACGCCGUAAACGAUGAGUGCUAAGUGUUAGGGGGUUUCCGCCCCUUAGUGCUGCAGCUAACGCAUUAAGCACUCCGCCUGGGGAGUACGGUCGCAAGACUGAAACUCAAAGGAAUUGACGGGGGCCCGCACAAGCGGUGGAGCAUGUGGUUUAAUUCGAA
This 935-nucleotide ribosomal RNA is filed under the name Bacillus pumilus. Its description in RNAcentral is "bacterial SSU rRNA". It matches the Rfam family "Bacterial small subunit ribosomal RNA", at positions 37 to 955 of the family's 1533-position model. Lineage: Bacteria; Bacillati; Bacillota; Bacilli; Caryophanales; Bacillaceae. The record is from RNAcentral.